UUUAUUGGAGAGUUUGAUCCUGGCUCAGGAUGAACGCUGGCGGCGUGCCUAAUACAUGCAAGUCGAGCGAAUGGAUUAAGAGCUUGCUCUUAUGAAGUUAGCGGCGGACGGGUGAGUAACACGUGGGUAACCUGCCCAUAAGACUGGGAUAACUCCGGGAAACCGGGGCUAAUACCGGAUAACAUUUUGAACCGCAUGGUUCGAAAUUGAAAGGCGGCUUCGGCUGUCACUUAUGGAUGGACCCGCGUCGCAUUAGCUAGUUGGUGAGGUAACGGCUCACCAAGGCAACGAUGCGUAGCCGACCUGAGAGGGUGAUCGGCCACACUGGGACUGAGACA
RNAcentral lists this ribosomal RNA (338 nucleotides) under Bacillus cereus. RNAcentral describes it as "bacterial SSU rRNA". It matches the Rfam family "Bacterial small subunit ribosomal RNA", at positions 1 to 326 of the family's 1533-position model. The record is from RNAcentral. Lineage: Bacteria; Bacillati; Bacillota; Bacilli; Caryophanales; Bacillaceae.